Molecule: ribosomal RNA, 492 nt
Filed under: uncultured bacterium
Lineage: Bacteria
Description: partial 16S ribosomal RNA
Rfam family: Bacterial small subunit ribosomal RNA
Source: RNAcentral
AGUGAACGCUGGCGGUAGGCCUAACACAUGCAAGUCGAACGGCAGCACAGUAAUAGCUUGCUCUUACGGGUUGCGAGUGGCGGACGUGUGAGGAAUACAUCGGAAUCUACUUUUUCGUGGGGGAUAACGUAGGGAAACUUACUCUAAUACCGCAUACGCCCUACGGGUGGAAGCAGUGGAUCUUCGGACCUUGCGCGAUUGAAUGCGCCGAUGUCGGAUUAGCUAGUUGGCGGGGUAAAGGCCCACCAAGGCGACGAUCCGUAGCUGGUCUGAGAGGAUGAUCAGCGACACUGGAACUGAGACACGGUCCAGACUCCUACGGGAGGCAGCAGUGGGGAAUAUUGGACAAUGGGCGCAAGCCUGAUCCAGCCAUACCGCGUGGGUGAAGAAGGCCUUCGGGUUGUAAAGCCCUUUUGUUGGGAAAGAAAAGCAGCAGGUUAAUACCCCGCUGUUCUGACGGUACCCAAAGAAUAAGCACCGGCUAACUUCGUG